AGAGUUUGAUCCUGGCUCAGGAUGAACGCUAGCUACAGGCUUAACACAUGCAAGUCGAGGGGAAACGACAUCGAAAGCUUGCUUUUGAUGGGCGUCGACCGGCGCACGGGUGAGUAACGCGUAUCCAACCUGCCCAUCACUUGGGGAUAACCUUGCGAAAGUAAGACUAAUACCCAAUGAUAUCUCUAGAAGACAUCUGAAAGAGAUUAAAGAUUUAUCGGUGAUGGAUGGGGAUGCGUCUGAUUAGCUUGUUGGCGGGGUAACGGCCACCAAGGCUACGAUCAGUAGGGGUUCUGAGAGGAAGGUCCCCCCANAUUGGAACUGAGACACGGUCCAAACUCCGUACGGGAGGCAG
RNAcentral lists this ribosomal RNA (355 nucleotides) under uncultured bacterium. RNAcentral describes it as "bacterial SSU rRNA". It matches the Rfam family "Bacterial small subunit ribosomal RNA", at positions 8 to 351 of the family's 1533-position model. The record is from RNAcentral.